CAGCAGCCGCGGGAAUACGGAGGGUGCAAGCGUUAAUCGGAAUUACUGGGCGUAAAGCGCACGCAGGCGGUUUGUUAAGUCAGAUGUGAAAUCCCCGAGCUUAACUUGGGAACUGCAUUUGAAACUGGCAAGCUAGAGUCUUGUAGAGGGGGGUAGAAUUCCAGGUGUAGCGGUGAAAUGCGUAGAGAUCUGGAGGAAUACCGGUGGCGAAGGCGGCUCACUGGCCCGAUACUGACGCUGAGGUGCGAAAGCGUGGGGAGCAGACAGGAUUAGAUACCCGAGUAGUCCCUGUCUCUUAUAU
Molecule: ribosomal RNA, 301 nt
Filed under: uncultured bacterium
Lineage: Bacteria
Description: partial 16S ribosomal RNA
Rfam family: Bacterial small subunit ribosomal RNA
Source: RNAcentral